UACAGAGGUCCCAAGCGUUGUUCGGAUUCACUGGGCGUAAAGGGUGCGUAGGCGGUCGGGUAAGUCUGAUGUGAAAUCUCACAGCUUAACUGUGAAACUGCAUUGGAUACUAUCCGGCUCGAGGAAUGGAGGGGAGACUGGAAUUCCCGGUGUAGCGGUGAAAUGCGCAGAUAUCGGGAAGAACACCCGUGGCGAAGGCGGCUCUCUGGGACGGUACUGACGCUGAGACGCGAAAGCGUGGGGAGCGAACAGG
RNAcentral lists this ribosomal RNA (253 nucleotides) under uncultured bacterium. Its description in RNAcentral is "partial 16S ribosomal RNA". It matches the Rfam family "Bacterial small subunit ribosomal RNA", at positions 524 to 776 of the family's 1533-position model. The record is from RNAcentral.